RNAcentral lists this transfer RNA (74 nucleotides) under Spirulina subsalsa FACHB-351. RNAcentral's name for it is "tRNA-Val". It matches the Rfam family "tRNA". Rfam says of the family: Transfer RNA (tRNA) molecules are approximately 80 nucleotides in length. Their secondary structure includes four short double-helical elements and three loops (D, anti-codon, and T loops). The record is from RNAcentral. RNAcentral also lists the same sequence under 4 other names. Lineage: Bacteria; Bacillati; Cyanobacteriota; Cyanophyceae; Spirulinales; Spirulinaceae.
GGACGCAUAGCUCAGUUGGUUAGAGUACUACGUUGACAUCGUAGGGGUCACUGGUUCGAACCCAGUUGCGUCCA